AUGGAAGGCCUCUUGCAUUGGGACUUUGCCCCUGGCUUAGCCCUGGCGGAUCAGGUGAGAAGAAAGUUUGGUUCCACGGUGCAUUUCUCCCCCUCUCGAGACACCAAGGAGUUCUUUCUUGUGGUUACAUUUUCGUCGGCCUCCUUCCCACUCACAGAAGAAUCUAUGGGUCUUGCUCUCCAAUGUUGCAUUGGGGGUUUUAGCGUGGGCUUCAUAGUGCAUAAGAUUAAUCCCCGAGCUUUUCGUUUCUCGGUGGCCAACAACAAGGUGGGAAAUUUCAUCUACGGCCUCAAGGAGCGCAUUUGGCCAGAUUUCAUUUGCCACUUUCAUCUGUUCAAUGGCCGUUUCAAUCGUGUUCCCUCGUCUACUUUAAGUUGGCAUGCAGAUGAAGUCUUACCGGAGUUAACUGCUCGACAUCCUUUGGCUUUUAAAUCAAAUUUGGGUUUUCUGAAAUUGGGUUCUUUGGUAUCUGCCUCUUCUAUGAUCGAGCUAAGCAAAUUUGCUUUGAAGCCUAUUGAUCAUAUGGUUUUUUCCAAUUCUCAUGCUCAUGAGGCUUCGUCAUCCUCUGCUCCAUAA
RNAcentral lists this ribosomal RNA (576 nucleotides) under Triticum aestivum (bread wheat). RNAcentral describes it as "partial small subunit ribosomal RNA". The record is from RNAcentral. Lineage: Eukaryota; Viridiplantae; Streptophyta; Magnoliopsida; Poales; Poaceae.